GAAACCAACAGGGAUUGCCUUAGUAACGGCGAGUGAAGCGGCAACAGCUCAAAUUUGAAAUCUGGCCCUUGGGUCCGAAUUGUAAUUUGUAGAGGAUGAUUUUGGUGCGGUAUCUUCCGAGUUCCUUGGAACAGGACGCCUUAGAGGGUGAGAGCCCCGUACGGUUGAAUGCCUAGCCUCUGUAAAUCUCCUUCGACGAGUCGAGUAGUUUGGGAAUGCUGCUCUAAAUGGGAGGUAAAUUUCUUCUAAAGCUAAAUAUUGGCCAGAGACCGAUAGCGCACAAGUAGAGUGAUCGAAAGAUGAAAAGCACUUUGAAAAGAGGGUUAAAUAGCACGUGAAAUUGUUGAAAGGGAAGGAUUUGUGACCAGACUUUUUCUGGGCGGAUCAUCCGGGGUUCUCUCCGGUGCACUUCGCCCAGUAAAGGCCAGCAUCGGUUUUCGGCGUGGGAUAAAAGCAGUAGGAAUGUGGCUCUCUACGGGGAGUGUUAUAGCCUAUUGUAUAAUACCGCGCUGGGGACCGAGGUUCGCGCUUCUGCAAGGAUGCUGGCGUAAUGGUUAUCAAUCACCCGUCUUGAAACACGGACCAAGGAGUCGAACAUUUGUGCGAGUGUUUGGGUGUUAAACCCUCACGCGUAAUGAAAGUGAACGGAGGUGAGAGCCCUUACGGGUGCAUCAUCGACCGAUCCUGAAGUUUUCGGAUGGAUUUGAGUAAGAGCAUAACUGUUCGGACCCGAAAGAUGGUGAACUAUGCGUGGAUAGGGUGAAGCCAGAGGAAACUCUGGUGGAGGCUCGCAGCGGUUCUGACGUGCAAAUCGAUCGUCAAAUCUGCGCAUGGGGGCGAAAGACUAAUCGAACCAUCUAGUAGCU
RNAcentral lists this ribosomal RNA (866 nucleotides) under Neopestalotiopsis piceana. Its description in RNAcentral is "LSU rRNA". It matches the Rfam family "Eukaryotic large subunit ribosomal RNA", at positions 61 to 952 of the family's 3401-position model. Lineage: Eukaryota; Fungi; Ascomycota; Sordariomycetes; Amphisphaeriales; Sporocadaceae. The record is from RNAcentral.